GUUCUUAUAGUGUAAAAAUUUGAGCACAUUAGAUUUUCAAUCUUUUAGAAUAUAAUUAAUAUAUUAAGAAUA
This 72-nucleotide transfer RNA is filed under the name Acanthosepion lycidas. RNAcentral describes it as "Sepia lycidas tRNA-Glu". Lineage: Eukaryota; Metazoa; Mollusca; Cephalopoda; Sepiida; Sepiidae. The record is from RNAcentral.